UGCAAACCCUGAUACAAAUUGACUUGAACUGGAUGUUGCACUGGAGUUCUCUGUUCAAAAUAUGAACCAAAAUUUACUUUAAAAAGACCUAUUUUGAGAUUUUGUGUGUGUGUGUGUGUGUGUGUGUGUGUGAAAGAAAAUGCAUUUAAAUGCAA
This is a non-coding RNA of Podarcis lilfordi (Lilford's wall lizard), 155 nucleotides long. The record is from the annotation of a GenBank genome assembly. Lineage: Eukaryota; Metazoa; Chordata; Lepidosauria; Squamata; Lacertidae.